RNAcentral lists this ribosomal RNA (459 nucleotides) under uncultured bacterium. Its description in RNAcentral is "partial 16S ribosomal RNA". It matches the Rfam family "Bacterial small subunit ribosomal RNA", at positions 338 to 795 of the family's 1533-position model. The record is from RNAcentral.
CCUACGGGAGGCAGCAGUGAGGAAUAUUGGUCAAUGGCCGGGAGGCUGAACCAGCCACGUCGCGUGCGUGAAGACGGCCCUACGGGUUGUAAACCUCUUUUUUCAGGGCGCAAGGUGCAGGUCGGGACCUGCUGUGAGAGUCCCUGAAGAAAAAGCCUCGGCUAACUCCGUGCCAGCAGCCGCGGUAAUUCGGAGGAUGCGAGCGUUAUCCGGAUUUAGUGGGUUUAAAGGGUUCGCAGGCGGAGGCACAAGUCAGCGGUAAUAGCGCGGGGCUCAACCCCGCUCAGCCGUUGAAACUGUGUCCCGUGAGUGCGCGAAGGGUAGGCGGAAUGCGGGGUGUAGCGGUGAAAUGCAUAGAUAUCACGCAGAACUCCGAUCGCGAAGGCAGCCUACCGGCGCGCAACUGACGCUCAGGCACGAAAGCGUGGGUAUCGAACAGGAUUAGAUACCCUUGUAGUC